This 450-nucleotide ribosomal RNA is filed under the name uncultured bacterium. RNAcentral describes it as "partial 16S ribosomal RNA". It matches the Rfam family "Bacterial small subunit ribosomal RNA", at positions 354 to 796 of the family's 1533-position model. The record is from RNAcentral.
GUGGGGAAUCUUCCGCAAUGGACGAAAGUCUGACGGAGCAACGCCGCGUGAGUGAAGAAGGUUUUCGGAUCGUAAAGCUCUUUCGUUAGGGACGAACGUGCUCUUUGUGAAUAAUGAGGAGUAAUGACGGUACCUAAAUAAGAAGCCACGGCUAACUACGUGCCAGCAGCCGCGGUAAUACGUAGGUGGCAAGCGUUGUCCGGAAUUAUUGGGCGUAAAGCGCGCGCAGGCGGGAUAUCAAGUCUGUCUUAAAAGUGCGAGGCUCAACCUCGUGAGGGGACAGAAACUGGUAUUCUUGAGGGUCGGAGAGGAAAGUGGAAUUCCAAGUGUAGCGGUGAAAUGCGUAGAGAUUUGGAAGAACACCAGUGGCGAAGGCGACUUUCUGGACGAUGUCUGACGCUGAGGCGCGAAAGCUAGGGGAGCGAACGGGAUUAGAUACCCCGGUAGUCC